CGGAAGGGUAUGGUGUGUGCCUCGCGCCUAAACGCGGCAGCCGCCCCUCCCGGUUCUUGCAGUUUCGCCUAUCGAAGUGGGAAGUGUGGGGACUUGGGGCGUUGCCUAGUGUUGGUUGGGGAUACAGUGCAAGCCUUGGAUCCCAAAGCUGCUUGGAUGGAUUUUACCAAACUGUAGCAUACUCAGUGCUUAGGACUGCGUUUACUGCUCUGCUCCCAGACCCUGCAAAAUUCUCCAUUAACGUCCUUCCGUUGCAUCCUCUACCCUCCCCAGCCAUCCGACCUUGGGACUAGGGAAACGUGGACUUGGUGGGCUAUUCUGCGCUGAAGAGGCAGCAACGAGGGCUCGGUGGUAUUGGUGUUGGUCCUAGUGGAAUUGUCAAGAGGAUGCUUUUGGAGACCUGAUGCCUGGAGGUACAGCAGCCAUCUUGUGACCAUAAGGAGGAAAUCAACGCAUUAAGAAGGGAAAAGCUAAGAAC
Molecule: long non-coding RNA, 478 nt
Filed under: Pan troglodytes (chimpanzee)
Lineage: Eukaryota; Metazoa; Chordata; Mammalia; Primates; Hominidae
Description: long non-coding RNA NONPTRT001462
Source: RNAcentral